GCCCGGUGGUGAAACUUGGUAGACACGCCGCACUCGCAAUGCGGCGGCUGUUGCUCGCUCAACGCCGUGAGGGUUCGAUUCCCUCCCCAGGCA
RNAcentral lists this transfer RNA (93 nucleotides) under Gammaproteobacteria bacterium. RNAcentral describes it as "tRNA-Ala". It matches the Rfam family "tRNA". Rfam says of the family: Transfer RNA (tRNA) molecules are approximately 80 nucleotides in length. Their secondary structure includes four short double-helical elements and three loops (D, anti-codon, and T loops). The record is from RNAcentral. Lineage: Bacteria; Pseudomonadati; Pseudomonadota; Gammaproteobacteria.